This 585-nucleotide ribosomal RNA is filed under the name uncultured bacterium. Its description in RNAcentral is "partial 16S ribosomal RNA". It matches the Rfam family "Bacterial small subunit ribosomal RNA", at positions 355 to 1375 of the family's 1533-position model. The record is from RNAcentral.
UGGGGAAUUUUGGACAAUGGGCGAAAGCCUGAUCCAGCAAUGCCGCGUGUGUGAAGAAGGCCUUCGGGUUGUAAAGCACUUUUGUCCGGAAAGAAAUCCUUGGCUCUAAUACAGUCGGGGGAUGACGGUACCGGAAGAAUAAGCACCGGCUAACUACGUGCCAGCAGCCGCGGUAAUACGUAGGGUGCAAGCGUUAAUCGGAAUUACUGGGCGUAAAGCGUGCGCAGGCGGUUUGCUAAGACCGAUGUGAGAUCCCCGGGCUCAACCUGGGAACUGCAUUGGUGACUGGCAGGCUAGAGUAUGGCAGAGGGGGGUAGAAUUCCACUGUAGCAGUGAAAUGCGUAGAGAUGUGGAGGAAUACCGAUGGCGAAGGCAGCCCCCUGGGCAAUACUGACGCUCAUGCACGAAAAGCGUGGGGAGCAAACAGGAUUAGAUACCCUGGUAGUCCACGCCCUAAAACGAUGUCAACUAGUUGUUGGGGAUUCAUUUCCUUAGUAACGUAGCUAACGCGUGAAGUUGACCGCCUGGGGAGUACGGUCGCAAGAUUAAAACUUAAAGGAAUUGACGGGGUCAUAGCUGUUUCCU